Oncorhynchus tshawytscha (Chinook salmon) is the source of this 358-nucleotide long non-coding RNA. The record is from Ensembl. NCBI's taxonomy places the organism in Eukaryota, Metazoa, Chordata, Actinopteri, Salmoniformes, Salmonidae.
ACUCCUCCAGAGUCACCUUCCUUAAAGACGCAUCCUGUAAAGACACCUCCUGUAAAGACCCCUCUUGUAAAGACACCUCCUGUAAAUACCCCUCUGGCAGGAAACACAACGGACACGGAAGGCCCUGCAUAACAAAGGAGGAAAGGGAGGAGAAGGUUGCAGCAGAGACCCAAUUCUUGGCGUUAAAUGAGUCUCCAGCCAGGUGUGAGGAGACUCCCAGAGAGGAGGAGGGGCCACGAGUGAUCCCAACUCCGCCGGGGCCCGCCCCCACCCCGAGCCACUCCCACCAGAAGGAGCACACAGAAGAUCAAAGACUACAGUUGCUGGAAUGUGAGCUGAGCAAGAAGAGAAAAGAAUG